Molecule: ribosomal RNA, 274 nt
Filed under: uncultured bacterium
Lineage: Bacteria
Description: partial 16S ribosomal RNA
Rfam family: Bacterial small subunit ribosomal RNA
Source: RNAcentral
AUACGGAGGGGGCUAGCGUUGUUCGGAAUUACUGGGCGUAAAGCGCGCGUAGGCGGGCUGGUAAGUUGGGGGUGAAAUCCCAGGGCUCAACCCUGGAACUGCCCUCAAUACUGCCAGUCUUGAGUUCGAGAGAGGUAAGUGGAAUUCCUAGUGUAGAGGUGAAAUUCGUAGAUAUUAGGAAGAACACCAGUGGCGAAGGCGGCUCACUGGCCCGAUACUGACGCUGAGGCGCGAAAGCGUGGGGAGCAAACAGCAUUAGAUACCCUUGUAGUCC